This 297-nucleotide ribosomal RNA is filed under the name Triticum aestivum (bread wheat). RNAcentral describes it as "partial small subunit ribosomal RNA". Lineage: Eukaryota; Viridiplantae; Streptophyta; Magnoliopsida; Poales; Poaceae. The record is from RNAcentral.
UCCGACAAGGCACCAGGGCCGGACGGUUUCUCGGGUGCCUCCUUCAAAUCUUGCUGGGACACUAUCAAGCACGACCUGCUAGCGGCGUUGAAUCAGUUAUUCAGGAUGGAAUGCCGAGGUCUAGAUCGUCUCAGUCAUGCUAUACUCGUGCUCAUUCCCAAGAAAUUGGGUGUGGAUGCUCCGCAAGACUUUAGGCCGAUCUCGUUACUCCACAGUGUGAUCAAAAUCUUCUCGAAGAUCCUGGCCUUAGAAGAUUCUGGCCUUGCGGCUCGCCCCAAAGCUCAACGCAUUUGUUGA